AAUCCCAGCACUUGCAAGGCUAGAUUUCUUGUGCUCAAUAGCGCUAUUUGUUGUUGAAUCUGUUGGGAUAGCUCACCUACCUUGAAGACAAAAUACCAUGUAACUAUUAAGGGGGCAGUCAGUUUCUGUUGACCCACCAAGAAAAAGAACUGAAGAAAUGGUUGUUGCAAAUGAACAUUUAUUUCAGCAGUCAGUGAGCACUGCUGGACAAAGAAUGUGGCUUACAAUGGGACUUUAGUCACAAAAGUCACCCAGAAUUUUCAUGAUGGCAAUUAUUGAGUUAGACCAGGGAAGAAAAUGAACAGAGCUGGCAAUGACUUGUGAUCAACACUGUCACACAUGUGCUGAUCAGAUAAUCCACUAAACACACACCAGUCUCAACUCCCGGCCUACACUGAAUUCUGUACACUAGACAUUUGCCAUAAUCCUAAUGGCUCACUACAAACCCAGCUUUAAUUCCAUCCACAUUCAAACACUAGAAGACUAAGUGCCUCCAAACAUUAAUUGCAUUCAAUUCAACCAACUUUCUGUAAGCACAUUAUCUCGUGCUCUAUUCAUAUCUAUCAUAGCCGUUGGCACACAAUCCCAGCACUUGAGCAAGGACAGGUGCGUUUGAAGACAGUCAAUACUGCACUUUCUCAUCUUGUCUUUUCUGGACGGUCAUAACAUCCAAUUCUCACUUGUGUCACUGGCCCUAGAAAACAAACACAGGGAUUACAAAACUACCAACACAAAAAUGAAAACAAAAAACCCCACAACAAUGCCUUUUUAAUGGUCCGUCUCAGAAGCCAGAUCCGUAAUUUUGUAUUUCAACAGGAAUUCAGGUUCGGGAUAGGGUCAUCAUAGAUCAGACCAAAGACAGUAUGUUCAUGUUCAACAACAACAAAAAACUGCACUCACAUGCAUUCCCAGGAGCUCUAGUAACUGUACAGGGAGCUGGCAUUUCACUCACUGGCAUUCGCUGCUAACAGAAAAAAAAAGCACUAUGAAGUAUUUUGUAGUUAUCUACUUAAAGCACACUAUACAACUGAGAAUACUUCCAUUUACUUCUCCAUACUUGAAAGUAAUCUGAUUGUUUAGAUCAAUUAUGCCUUACAAUGGUUCAAUCAACUCUAUAGCCAUUCCAAAUUAAAAGGCAAGCUUACAACAAAUCGUAUAUUAAUGUUAAGUUUAUAAAUGAAACGGUUGGCCAAUAUCAGUUUCUACACUUUAUAUUUUACCAUGUAGACGUAACGCUUUGUAUGCUCACAAAUUAAAACCUACCCUUGAUACACACCUUUUAAAAACAGUCAGGUCUUAAGCAAGUUAUCUCCUGUUAUGAAUUCACUGGGGUGGUUUGGCCCUCUGUCCUCCAUCUAAUUAAAGAAACAAAACUUUAAGCACCACAGCAGCCUCUACUCGUUCAAUUAGAAAACGAAGUUGCAUCACCCUCACCUGGGCAUUUCUUUGCAACUGCUUCGAAGACCCAGAAAACGAUGGCGUCAUUGUUCCUGUGAAAGGAGUAAUGCGUUAUCAGUCGUCUCUUGGGCGACACUAGCACCUUCUGAACAGCACGAAACUAAAAAAAAAAAAAAAAACCUUCCUCUGCCCAAGUCUUUUUGGAACAGAACUCACCCACGCCGGGAAAUAGGAACUAGACCCCUUAGGCCAUCAGCCAGGCCACCAAGCUCCAAUCUCCUUGGGCCUACGCGCCAAUCCUGCAAUCCCAUAGCAGAUGCGCAUUUCCCCAAGUAAAUUUUCAACCGCACUCUAACCUCAAACCUCCGAGGCUGUCCCACAAAACAGAAGCGUCCCAUUUUACUUUGCUCCACCGUAUUUCGCUUGGUCAUAACCCCCUCCCCCACAAUCCGCCCUCUCACUUACAGACAUAGGAAAAACCUCAGCUUCCCGACGUAAAAGAACGAGCCACGCAGCCUGCAGCUCCCUUUAUAGCCUGCGUGGAGCGAGACCGAGGCUGCCCCUCCCUCUCGCCCCUAUUGGAUGUGAAGCCAUGUGGGGGCGUGGCCUUUCCCUGGGGAACGCGUGGGAGCGCGCCUCUUUUCUUCCGGGCCAUCAUGGGGUGUGGUGCGCGCCCCCCCAGCUCGCCGCGUGCUCGUCCUUUGCGCGCGUCGCCGUCGGCACGUUGCCACCCGUCUCUUCCGAGUAUGUCCGGCCGCUCGGCUCUACGUGGCGUGGGAGUGGCGCCAGAAUUCAAACGAACAGCCGCAGUUGUAGGCGAGGUCACCGCCUGCUUUGAGCCAAGUCGGCUAGGACUCUCCGUGGCUGGGAGCGGCCUUUACGCGCGGCCCGUGGAGGAGCCUGGCUGGCCCGGUGGCCGGUGCUGCGCUUGGUCCGCGGCGGCGCAGCUGAAUGGACGUCGGCGGACAGUACUAAGACGGUGAAAACCGGAAAGCCCUACGUUUAUCCUUCGUGCACCCUGCGGGUACCGUAUGUCAGCAGAAGGCCACGCUGUCGCGUUCACGCCACCCAACUCCUGUUCAGGCACCCAGCCAGACAGGGUUUCUCUGUAGCUUUGGAGCCUGCCCUAGGACUUGCUGUGUAGACCAGGCUGGCCUGGAACUCAGAUCUGCUUGCCUCUGCCUCCUGAGUGCUGG
RNAcentral lists this long non-coding RNA (2594 nucleotides) under Cricetulus griseus (Chinese hamster). RNAcentral's name for it is "lncRNA (ENSCGRG00015029845.1)". Lineage: Eukaryota; Metazoa; Chordata; Mammalia; Rodentia; Cricetidae. The record is from RNAcentral.